AUGACAGCCCAUAAGACAUGUUUACUGUCCACCCAUAAGACAUGUGUACUGUCCACCCAUAAGACAUGCGUACUGUCCACCCAUAAGACAUGUGUACUGUCCACCCAUAAGACAUGUGUACUGUCCACCCAUAAGACAUGCGUACUGUCCACCCAUAAGACAUGUUUACUGUCCACCCAUAAGACAUGUUUACUGUCCACCCAUAAGACAUGUUUACUGUCCACCCAUAAGACAUGUUUACUGUCCACCCAUAAGACAUGUGUACUGUCCACCCAUAAGACAUGUUUACUGUCCACCCAUAAGACAUGUUUACUGUCCACCCAUAAGACAUGUUUACUGUCCACCCAUAAGACAUGCGUACUGUCCACCCAUAAGACAUGUGUACUGUCCACCCAUAAGACAUGUUUACUGUCCACCCAUAAGACAUGUUUACUGUCCACCCAUAAGACAUGCGUACUGUCCACCCAUAAGACAUGUGUACUGUCCACCCAUAAGACAUGUUUACUGUCCACCCAUAAGACAUGCGUACUGUCCACCCAUAAGACAUGUUUACUGUCCACCCAUAAGACAUGUUUACUGUCCACCCAUAAGACAUGCGUACUGUCCACCCAUAAGACAUGCGUACUGUCCACCCAUAAGACAUGUUUACUGUCCACCCAUAAGACAUGUUUACUGUCCACCCAUAAGACAUGUGUACUGUCCACCCAUAAGACAUGUUUACUGUCCACCCAUAAGACAUGUUUACUGUCCACCCAUAAGACAUGUUUACUGUCCACCCAUAAGACAUGUUUACUGUCCACCCAUAAGACAUGCGUACUGUCCACCCAUAAGACAUGUUUACUGUCCACCCAUAAGACAUGUGUACUGUCCACCCAUAAGACAUGUUUACUGUCCACCCAUAAGACAUGUGUACUGUCCACCCAUAAGACAUGUUUACUGUCCACCCAUAAGACAUGUUUACUGUCCACCCAUAAGACAUGCGUACUGUCCACCCAUAAGACAUGUUUACUGUCCACCCAUAAGACAUGUGUACUGUCCACCCAUAAGACAUGUGUACUGUCCACCCAUAAGACAUGUUUACUGUCCACCCAUAAGACAUGUUUACUGUCCACCCAUAAGACAUGUGUACUGUCCACCCAUAAGACAUGUUUACUGUCCACCCAUAAGACAUGUGUACUGUCCACCCAUAAGACAUGUUUACUGUCCACCCAUAAGACAUGUGUACUGUCCACCCAUAAGACAUGUUUACUGUCCACCCAUAAGACAUGUUUACUGUCCACCCAUAAGACAUGUUUACUGUCCACCCAUAAGACAUGCGUACUGUCCACCCAUAAGACAUGUUUACUGUCCACCCAUAAGGCAUGUGUACUGUCCACCCAUAAGACAUGUUUACUGUCCACCCAUAAGACAUGUUUACUGUCCACCCAUAAGACAUGCGUACUGUCCAGGGUUAUGCGGAGAGUGGAGCUGUGUUGA
RNAcentral lists this long non-coding RNA (1476 nucleotides) under Oncorhynchus mykiss (rainbow trout). RNAcentral's name for it is "lncRNA (ENSOMYG00000059991.1)". Lineage: Eukaryota; Metazoa; Chordata; Actinopteri; Salmoniformes; Salmonidae. The record is from RNAcentral.